This is a long non-coding RNA of Mercurialis annua (annual mercury), 647 nucleotides long. RefSeq lists it as uncharacterized. The record is from RefSeq and is a predicted model, not a curated record. The transcript is spliced from 6 exons. Lineage: Eukaryota; Viridiplantae; Streptophyta; Magnoliopsida; Malpighiales; Euphorbiaceae.
UAUUUUCAGCUACCAAAAUUCGUAGCUCAUCUUCCUCCUUCAAACCAAACCAAGAAAAUGUUUUAAAAACCAUAUCUUACUCGUUUUUUAUCCGAAUUGAGCGAUUCUUGCGGCUACGGAAUGAGGAAAGGAUCCUCUACUGAUAUAUAGCUUUAAUUUGAGGUGUUUAUAAGCUUUCAUGGAGCAAUUUUGAUGACGAAUCUUGCAGCUAGACCCUUCAAAUUUGAGACUUCAACCAAAGUGAGAAACUUGAAUAUGUCCUCUACAAUUGUCUAGCUUUAAGUUGUCUCUAAUUCUGCCUCUAAGAUGCUCCAAUCAAACAGAACAUUCUAUUGCUCAAAGCAGUUCUGCAUUUAGGACAGUCCAAGGUGUUAACUUAAGGGCUAGAUUCCGACACCUUCAGACCCAACGAGGAGAAUACCGAUGGAGCAUGGAACUCGAGGAUCGAGAGUAAUGCUUUGUUUAAAGUAUAUGGAUAGCAAGUGGGACAUCAUGAUAUGAUUUGGAGAGUCAAACUUCCGAAGUUCUAAUUCUCGGAAGUGAUUUGUACAAGAAGAAAAAGAAGGUUUUUAGGCUUGCUACGGGAUUUGGAGCUACCACUCCCAUUCCCUAGCGCCGGUCGCGGCUCAUAAAUUUGGGUCGUGACA